CCUACGGGAGGCUGCAGUGGGGAAUAUUGCACAAUGGGCGCAAGCCUGAUGCAGCCAUGCCGCGUGUGUGAAGAAGGCCUUCGGGUUGUAAAGCACUUUCAGCGGGGAGGAAGGCGGUGAGGUUAAUAACCUCAUCGAUUGACGUUACCCGCAGAAGAAGCACCGGCUAACUCCGUGCCAGCAGCCGCGGUAAUACGGAGGGUGCAAGCGUUAAUCGGAAUUACUGGGCGUAAAGCGCACGCAGGCGGUCUGUCAAGUCGGAUGUGAAAUCCCCGGGCUCAACCUGGGAACUGCAUUCGAAACUGGCAGGCUAGAGGCUUGUAGAGGGGGUAGAAUUCCAGGUGUAGCGGUGAAAUGCGUAGAGAUCUGGAGGAAUACCGGUGGCGAAGGCGGCCCCCUGGACAAAGACUGACGCUCAGGUGCGAAAGCGUGGGGAGCAAACAGGAUUAGAUACCCUUGUAGUC
This 464-nucleotide ribosomal RNA is filed under the name uncultured Klebsiella sp. Its description in RNAcentral is "bacterial SSU rRNA". It matches the Rfam family "Bacterial small subunit ribosomal RNA", at positions 338 to 795 of the family's 1533-position model. Lineage: Bacteria; Pseudomonadati; Pseudomonadota; Gammaproteobacteria; Enterobacterales; Enterobacteriaceae. The record is from RNAcentral.